GAUGAAGAACGUAGCGAAAUGCGAUACUUGGUGUGAAUUGCUGAAUCCCGUGAACCAUCGAGUCUUUGAACGCAAGUUGCGCCCGAAGCCAUUAGGCCGAGGGCACGCCUGCCUGGGCGUCACACGUCGUUGCCCCCCCAUCUACUCCUUCGGGAUUGCGGGGGGCGGAUGAUGGCCUCCCGUGCGCCUCGUCGCACGGUUGGCAUAAAUGCCAAGUCCUCGGCGACGCACGCCACGACAAUCGGUGGUUGCGAAACCUCGGUUGCCCGUCGUGUGCGGUCGUCGCGCAUCGAGGGCUCGAAAAAAUUGCCGGGCUCCGGCUCGGCUUUCAACGCGACCCCAGGUCAGGCGGGGUUACCCGCUGAAUUUAAGCAUAUCAAUAAGCGGAGGA
This 391-nucleotide unclassified non-coding RNA is filed under the name soil metagenome. RNAcentral describes it as "partial contains 5.8S ribosomal RNA, internal transcribed spacer 2, and large subunit ribosomal RNA". The stretch from base 1 to 122 matches the Rfam family "5.8S ribosomal RNA", at positions 35 to 154 of the family's 154-position model. The record is from RNAcentral.